UACGUAGGGUGCAAGCGUUAAUCGGAAUUAUUGGGCGUAAAGCGUGCGCAGGCGGCUUUGCAAGUCAGAUGUGAAAUCCCCGGGCUUAACCUGGGAACUGCAUUUGUGACUGCAAGGCUGGAGUGCGGCAGAGGGGGAUGGAAUUCCGCGUGUAGCAGUGAAAUGCGUAGAUAUGCGGAGGAACACCGAUGGCGAAGGCAAUCCCCUGGGCCUGCACUGACGCUCAUGCACGAAAGCGUGGGGAGCAAACAGG
RNAcentral lists this ribosomal RNA (253 nucleotides) under uncultured bacterium. Its description in RNAcentral is "partial 16S ribosomal RNA". It matches the Rfam family "Bacterial small subunit ribosomal RNA", at positions 524 to 776 of the family's 1533-position model. The record is from RNAcentral.